GAUGAACGCUGGCGGCGUGCCUAAUACAUGCAAGUCGAGCGAACAGACGAGGAGCUUGCUCCUCUGACGUUAGCGGCGGACGGGUGAGUAACACGUGGAUAACCUACCUAUAAGACUGGGAUAACUUCGGGAAACCGGAGCUAAUACCGGAUAAUAUAUUGAACCGCAUGGUUCAAUAGUGAAAGACGGUUUUGCUGUCACUUAUAGAUGGAUCCGCGCCGCAUUAGCUAGUUGGUAAGGUAACGGCUUACCAAGGCGACGAUGCGUAGCCGACCUGAGAGGGUGAUCGGCCACACUGGAACUGAGACACGGUCCAGACUCCUACGGGAGGAAGCAGUAGGGAAUCUUCCGAAAAGGGCGAAAGCCUGACGGAGCAACGCCGCGUGAGUGAUGAAGGUCUUCGGAUCGUAAAACUCUGUUAUUAGGGAAGAACAAAUGUGUAAGUAACUAUGCACGUCUUGACGGUACCUAAUCAGAAAGCCACGGCUAACUACGUG
Molecule: ribosomal RNA, 497 nt
Filed under: uncultured bacterium
Lineage: Bacteria
Description: partial 16S ribosomal RNA
Rfam family: Bacterial small subunit ribosomal RNA
Source: RNAcentral